Ictidomys tridecemlineatus (thirteen-lined ground squirrel) is the source of this 4564-nucleotide long non-coding RNA. RefSeq lists it as uncharacterized. NCBI's taxonomy places the organism in Eukaryota, Metazoa, Chordata, Mammalia, Rodentia, Sciuridae. The record is from RefSeq and is a predicted model, not a curated record.
GCAGGGGAAAAUUUCUAUCUGGAUUCCUCCCUUCGUUGUCAAGGGAGCCUGUUGUCACAGGGUGGUUUGUUUGGGGUGUGGGCGGUUGGCCUGGGAGGAGACUUCCUGGCAGUAAUUCUGCCCGAUGAGACUCUUUCUACCACCUACUUCAGGGGUGGGCCUUGAACCAAUAGGUGCCCCAUGGGGGUCUUCUCGGCCUCCUCCUCCCCCUGGCCCCAUAAGGCUGGCAUCCAUGUCUGGUAGGCAGCCGGCCCGGUGCCUCCAGAAGCCACUAGACCCACUCCUUGGGGCCCAUCACAAGCCACAAGCUGUCCCGGACCAGUGCUGAGGUUUUUGGUUGGUUUGUUUGAAUCACUUUUCUCCCCCAACUCUUCACCCCAAAAGCAAAGUGAGUUUUAAACCUACACCCACCUGGUCUCGGGCCCUACAACUGCCCAUAUUGUUUUCUGCAUAAACUUUUGCCAUUAAUACGUCACUCACUUAUCUCGCUAAAUAUUCUACCCAGCGGCCUAAUUAACUGCUGUUAGGAAAUGCUUCAACUCCCCGGGUCCCUGCUGACCCGCAGGGCCAGGACCAGGGACACGGCUGCACCCACUCGCCCUCUGCCACUUAAGCAACAAAGCAGGGCGUCUCGGCCACGCGCGCGGCCGGUACAGUCCGCUGUGCAGGACACCGCGUUUCCCUCGAGGGGGUCGCGUCCUCCGGGGCGUCCCCGCCCCCACCGCGAGCUCCGGGACGCUGACGUCACCGGCCGAGCACGCGGCGGCGCCGCCCAGGAGUCACGCGCUGCCGCCGGGACAGUGCUGCGCCGCCGCAGAGAUCCCUCCGCCGCCCCUGGAAUUCUCCAGACGCUCUGCCGGCCCUUCUUUCGGGCCUCUGCUGGGCGGGGUGACCCUAGGCGACCCCGCAACUCCCUCGGUGGGCUCCGAAGCGCGGCCCCUGAACGGACCUCCCCCCCGCCCCACCUGAGGAAGGGACUUCUCCCCGCGGCCACUGCCUCCCAAAUGUGACGUUGGGCUCUGUCCCAAGAAGGAGGGAUAAUUAGGGAGUGGCCACCAAAGGGAGAGGCCACCAAAGGGAGACCGUGAACCGCCCCUGGUUGGCUUCUUGGGCGGGGUGGGGAGGGACUUUUUUUCCGGUGUCAGUGGAGGAAUCGUCCCGUUGAGUAGUGUCUCGUGACGCGACCCGGGACUAUAAAAGCAAAAGUUGUGGCCCAUCCAGCAGGAGUUAGCGACAGGCAGGGCUGGCGCCUGGGUGUAGUGGUGGGGCGGAAGUGACCAGUUCAGGGUCUCAGGGGACACAGGCAGGAGAUGGCAGAGCUAGAGGGGGUGGGGGUGGGGGUGCGUGGGGAAGGAGGGCUGAAAAGGAGCUUAGAUGUGGGGGGCUCUGCAGCGCGAAGGCCCACAGCACCCCACGAGGCCGCAGCAGCUCUCGGGCCUCGCUGUGCCUUCUGCUACUGCUGCUGGAGGGGGGAUUGGACUUCCAGGAGGCCGAGGUCCUUCCGUGGGCCUAGCUGGCCCCAGUGGCCUGGUUAACGUGGAGGAGGAAGGCAGGCUGAGGCGGGAAGAGGUGGAGACCGGCCUAGGCGGUGGUCGGUCGUUGGCAGGCAGGCCCGCAGCUGGGCGGGGAGGGCCGACUUGAAACUUGUCAAUACCAGCAGCCCCCGUUUUUUUCCAGACAAAGGGUUGUGAACCUGCCUGGGGAUGAGGCCUGGUCUUAAGGAAACUGGACUUGGCUUCGCGGGCCUGACAGCUCUGGGCCAGGGUGGUAUGUAAACAGGGCUCACCUGGUGGAGCCCAGGAGGUGAAGGGUGGCCUGUGGAGUGAUCACGAUCCAAUGUGCCAUUGCCAACUGUUACUGGGGGCUGCUGAGGCAGGCUGCUUUUGUUUGGGGACAAUAUUGACCAACCCUUUAUUUUCCAGGUGGCAGUACCCUCCCCUCUGGAUUUCCCUAAGUUCGAUGCUAAACUCUUCUGUGAGCUCACUCUACCCCUCCUCCUCCCUCUAACUCUCUUGAGGUUAUCCCUUCACUUAAAACCUUGCCUCUGGUCGUCUGGUAAGCCUGGUGAAGUCGCAGGAGUGUUCUUGGACUCGGUAUUGUUGGUAAUGGUGCAGAAGGAAAGGCCUUCCCGGUGGAGCCUCUGGGGGGGUGGGUUGGUGUUGCUUUUGGAGAGGGUGGGGAUUGAAUGUGCUCCCCUGGGUGGGGCUGCAGCAGUGUUUCCAGCAGAAGUCACCCAAUGCCUCAUGGACCUGGUUUGUUACUGUAGUGUUCAUCAUGGCGAGCAGAUGGCACCAGGACAAAUGGAGCCCCAGCCAGUGUGAGUCGUAGCAGUGCAGGAGGGGAGACCCUGAAGGAGACAGCCCGCUUAAGUUGAUGCCUGCAGAUUGAAUUCCAGAGGCUUAGGAGGAGGAGCAGUUCUCCAGUGCCUUGUAUCCAGGCCUUGCUCAGGAGGCCAACCGUUAAGGUUUUCAGAUGAGCUUGUGGGGGGCAGUUCACAAGUCCAAAGCAGAUGCAUCAGCUUGAGGGGCCUUCAUCUUUGAAUGUUCCAGCAGCAUCAUCCUCCAGGCACAGGAAUGCCAGCAGGCACCCCUCUUGUCCUGGGGGUAGUUUUCAGAUGCUGCAUCUUCUAAAUUGAGCCUCUGGUCCUUCUAGUUCUGUGCUAUGAACUUUCCUUCCAGAAGAUUCUUAAGUUAUAGAACAUUUUAAAGUUGAUCCAACAACCAGCCCGAUGCCUUUUAGAUGGCACUUGGAGAUGGAGCCCAGGGACCUCUCACCUACUCGCCUGCUUACCUGCCUUCCUGUCUGCACAUUGGCCGAGGAAUUCUUAGUGUGAUGAUAAAGCUUUUGAUUGUUGGGGGGCCGGAGCUGUUCAAUUUUAAAUGCUUUAGGCAGAGAGAAUUUGUUAGAUUAUCAAACUGUGGGGGCUCAUGUGUUGAGCUAAAGUGGGAGGGGACAAGCCGGUCAUGCCCAGGAGCUGUGUGUUGGUAGGGGGUCUUGUCUGGCCAUUCUAAUGGCAUAGAACCUUUCCAGAAGGGAAUGGUAGGCCCACCAGUAGUGGGUGGGUCAUGGGUGUUUUGUUUUCUGGUGCUGCAGAUUGAACAGGGCCUUGGGCAUUUUAGGCAAAUGCUCCGCCAUUGAGCGACAACCCCAGCCCAGUUAUUUGAUUUCCCCCUCUCCUUUUUUUUUAACAUCUCAGUAGUAUUAUUCCUCUGGGGGCGGGACAGGGGGGCAAGGGCUGGUGGGGAUGCAGUGCUGGGAGCAUGAGGGUGUGGGAUGUGGGUUGAGAGGAAGUCUCUGGAAAGAAAAGUAUGGGCAGAGAUCUGAGAAAUUUCAUAGAAUUUGUGAGUGGAGAAAACACUAGUUAAUGGUAAAUUAUUGGUUAAAUGGUUGCAUAUAAGCAGUGAAAGUUGCUUGGAAAUUUUUAUAAAAGUGCUUAGAACUUCAAGGAAAGUUCAAGAAAAAAAAAGCAAAAUUGUUUUGCUCUAAAGUGGGAAAGACUGAGAAGGUAUAACUGAAAACAAGAAUAUUUAGUUACUUGAAAAAUGACAUGGAACUUGGUGUCAAAACUAUGAGUUUUUAAACAUUUUAAGUAUACACUUACGAUGAGAUUAACAUGGACUUUUCUGGGUUUGUAAUUCAUAUUUUGUCAUGGAGAUCUCAGUGAUUCAAAAUUCUGAACAAAAUGGAAAUGCUUUUGGAGAGGGUGGGGAUUGAAUGUGCUCUUCUGGGUGGGGCUGCAGCAAUGGUUCCAGAAGUCACCCAAUGCCUCAUGGUCGCGAAUUGUUACUAUAGUGAGACAAAUGGAAAUGCUUUUGGAGAGGGUGGAGAUUAAAUGAUUUUUAAGGGAAUUUCAUAAGAAGUGCCUUAUAGAUUUUUCUGUGUUUGGUCAAAACCAUAAUAGCAAAAGUUUUGCUUACUUAACUAUAGUCUUGAAAUCAGUCAUUGUAACAAGGAAAACCUUUUGUGGUUACAGUGAAAUUACUAUAUUUGGUAGCAAUCAGAAUUAUUAGUGAAUAAUCUAUUGUAUUUUCAGUUUAAAUGAUCCAGGACUGGGGGGGGGGAAUGUCAAUCAAAACCAGUUUAGGAAAUAAAAGCAAACUGGGCAGAAGGGGCCAGCUUAACAGGCAGGCUGUAAGAGCUUCUGUGAAACUUUGAUUUGCUUCUGAGCUGAUUUUGUUGAAUUGAUAAGAGUAACUCCAAUGGGCUUUAUCCUGUUUUUCCUCUAAAUUUGAACACUUUAAAAUAUCCAAUACCUUUUAUCCUUAGGACUUUUCCUGUGUUCUGGGUUCCUUUUUUUUUUAUGCUUAAAAAUACAUUGGUGUGGUAAUUCAAUUCUUAGUUGGUGACUUGGGUGUGAUACAGUUACUGUCAUUGGAACUUAAAGUGUAUUAGUCAUGCUUGUGGGGAAAUAUUUCUGGGUAUGCUGUUGUGUAAUGAAAGCUGUAAAAACAGGUGGUUAAAGUACUUGUUUGUAAGGCACGCGCUGUUCUGUUCUGUGUGUGGUUUCUAACCAUUUUUCUUCCCCUUUACAGCACAAAUAAAGGUUUGAGUUCCAAACUCCUUA